AAAUUCAUCUUUGAUCACAGGAAUAAAUUACGUUUUAAAUAUAUAUUCAAAUAGCAAGCAGUUAUUUUAAAUAGUAAAAAUAUUUCACAAUAUUACUGCUUUUGCUGUAUUUUGGAUAACAUAAAUGCAGGCUUGGUGAGCAGAAGAUAAUUCUUAAAAAAAAAAACAUUCAAAAUCUUACUGUUCAAUAACUUUUGACUGCUAGUGUAGAUAUGUAUCAUUGCAUCUAGUUGUUUUGGAUAAUAAAAAAAAAACGUCAGGUCUGACAAUACCGUGUCUUUUCGAAUUUAAAUCUAGAUUUAUUUGCAUUGGUCCAUGGAAACCUCUAUGAGCACACUUGACAUGACUUGGCCAAAGAAUCGCAGUGAACGAAUUUACAUUUUAUUAAAAAGUGUUUGUGUAUUCUGCACUAAUGGCGCGUGCACACAGGAUAGAUGCCUGACUCCGCUGCGAGUCCCGAUCAAGCACUUUACCGAUUCAACUGCUCUCCUCUCCUCCGCCUGUCUGGCUCUUUACCCGCAUCACUCACCGCAGAGCAAGCCUGUUCUUGAUAAAGCUACUGUGAAAACGUGGCAAAAGCCGACGAGGAAGAAGUUAGGGUGAAGCGUUCUUUAUAUAGGCGGAGACUCCGUCUAUAGCGCAUUGUGAUUGUGUGGUUUACGCUGUCAAUAGAGGAGACAAACCAAUGGGCCACUGGCUGCUCGUGAUGGUCCUUGGCAAAAGAAAUAAAAAAUUCUGUUGGCCCCUUCUGUGCGUCGGCCCACCGGGAAAAUGCCCGGUAUGCCAGAUUACCAGUCCAGCCCUGGUGUGCACUCACAAUAAUAAAAUAAACUUUUUAUAAAAUAAAUAAAAUCAUUUGAUAAAAUAAAGAAAACAAUGAUGCGCCGUCUUGUCUUGAACAGGAGCGCUUCACAAAAAUGAACCGAAAGUCAAUACAUGCCUCACAGACAUGAUAAAUAUAUCUAUAGAAAGCUUUAAAUUACUACUUAACGAAAUCAAUCAAAUCGAAAACAAAAACUCUUUCAUUAUAAUCCGUGAAGAUGCACUUCUCUCUAAAGGCGCGUCUAAUGAGGAGAUGGCGAGUCAGGAUCAUCAUCUUCAUCUUUGCGACACUGACACAGAAAACACUAGUUUAUUAGUAAAUAAUUCAAAUAUCUCCUUACUAUUUCCCCCGGACACAUUCAUGGUAAUUACUUUUGCUGGGGCUUUGCUGCAAGCUUCAGCGUAUUGUGUGUAUUUGAAGCAGAACUCUUCAGCUGCGCUGACGGCUCUCUGCUGCUGCGGGACUCUAAACACCGUCGAGCCGCUCUUCACAGUCGCAGCACGGUCUCGUGUUGUUUCCACCAGCGCGGCAAUUGUAUUCAUCACUAAUUGAUGGAUGUCUAAAAUAUAAAAAUAAGGAGAAGCCUAAAACAGGCCCGAGGCCCGGCCCGCCCCAGCAAACAAUGACCUGGCGGUCCACCAGCGUUUUUUGGGUGGCACAAAUUCAGCGGCUUAAUACGGUCGGACCACCGUCGGCACACCAUCGGCUAGCCGACCAAUCUAAAAACGCUGUCAGCGUUUUUUUGGGUGGCACGCCACCUGCUGUUUGCCGCGGCUGGGCCUCCGUCGGUGCACCAGUGGCAAGCCGAGGUUCUGUGUAUCUACUGAGCUCUUACAUGACAUCUUUGUUUUAUAAAUUAUGUAUAUAUUACAUUUAUGUAUUGCAUUACAUUUUUACAGUUAAAAGGAAUCUGAAGCACUGAAUAAAAAUAGUGAGAGUUAUAGUUUAGUAUAAAAACUGCAAGCACAUUUUUAAAUGAAAUAAAUAGUUUGAAUGAUCGUAAAAACAACAAUACAAAAUCUAAUAAAAAAAAUAGCAAAAAUAAAAUAAAAUAAAAAUUAAAUAAAAAUAAAAAUAAAUGUGCUAAUUUGUCCCACUAUCACGUGCGGGUUGCAGUUUACACCUAUGUAUGAAUGGGUCAUAUAACUACAAAACGAUUAAAAUUCUAAAUUAAAUACUUUUUUUGUUGUUAUUGUUGUUUAUGUUCUAUAUAAAGUUUAUUUAAAUGGUGCGUGACUGUGACGUGUUUUGAUGGACGCGCGCUCCGAGUCUCAUUCAAACGCUGCAGGGAGGGAGUUACCAUGGAAACGGGGCGGCAACUCUCCAACUGACAGCUGCAACACUGCGUCUCUCGCUGCUGUUUUCACCGUUUUCAGGAGUAACACUUCUACAACAGAAGAGAAGCUCCAAGGUAUCUACAUUUCUGAAGGAAGCUGCUGACAGAGAUGUGGGAGACAUAGGUUUCCAUCCCAGUGUUACUACAGCUUGGAUCCAGCCUCACUUGUGGUGACUUCAGAUGAUGACCCAGAUGAUGGCAACUAUAGAUGAACAUAGCAACCUGACAAAUGUUAUGUAUUGUAAUCAUUGCCUUAAAGCAUACAUUGAGUGAUUUUCAACCCACUUUGUAUUGUUACUAUGAUGGUGAUAUAUGUGAACGAACAAUGUUUAAUCUUUCUCUGAGUUCCAUGAGAUACACCCAUUUAUUUGUCAGCCAAAUAAUAUUUUGCGUUAUCCAAAUAUUGUUUAUUUACAUAUUACAGACUUUGUGGCAGUAUAAAGUGGAUUUAAAUUCCCCGAACCUACCCUUUAAUGGUUGUCUGUUUAACUGAACAUGACUUUGAACACAUAACUUGUAUUAUCUUAGAGUUAUAGACAUUAAUUUGUUGCCAGAAGAUGCUCCCCAUUGAGUCACAGUCACCUCAGGCUGUUGAUGGGAUUUUUUUUUUUUUUUUAAACCUUGACAUUUUCUAAAGCUGCUUUGAUUGUGAAAAGCAGUGUAGCCUUACAACAGUCAACCAUGUUUUUACUAUGGUAAAACUAGUAGAACCAUGAUAUCAAAACCUUAGUUUGAGAAAACUAAAACCCUGAUUACUACAGACAUGAUUACUAAAGUAAUAUUUUAGUAAUGCUGGAGUAAAACUGUGGUAACCAUAGUUUUUGAAACCAUGGUGAAGUUUGUAGUUACUAUAGGUUUACUACUAUGCUGUAGUAAGACCAUGGUUAUGGCAGUUACUGUGAAUUUACUACAACAAUCAUAGUUAAACUAUGGUUAAUUUUGUGGUUGACUUUUGUAGGGUACAAAUAUGUGAAUUGAAUGCUUCUAUUUGAAAGUCACAUUGGAUAAA
This is a long non-coding RNA of Onychostoma macrolepis, 3168 nucleotides long. RefSeq lists it as uncharacterized. Lineage: Eukaryota; Metazoa; Chordata; Actinopteri; Cypriniformes; Cyprinidae. The record is from RefSeq and is a predicted model, not a curated record. The transcript has 3 exons.